CCCUUCUGUUGCUUUUCUGGAGCUUGGGUGUUUAAAGUGAGCUCUCCGAUUUAGAUCAGCCCCUUCCUGAAAUCUUAAGCCCAGAGAAGCUGGCGGGGAAACCUCUUUCCCACGUUGGUCGCCAAGCACGCACCCAAAGGCUCUGUGGAUCCAAAUAAGCUGCGAGGCUCUGCCGUCCUGUGAGCAUUUACUGGGAAGUAAGCACCGCCGAACUCAAGGGGUCUGAUUCCCGAGGGCCAGCUUGGCUGCCCCGGAGCAAACCGGCCCGAGGGUUUUGCAGCAGCCUGGCUUCCCUUUUGCUAAGCAAGCGGGCAGUCCCUGCCUCUGGAUCCGACGGGGCCAGCUCCUGGCCCCCCGACGGAAGCCGAGCGCUCGGCCGCCUGCUGGGAUUCAGAGCCGCGGCUGCUCUUUCUUUCGGAGGCCGGUGGCGUGAGCUAGUGAGGGCCAGUUCCUUCCCCCUGACCACCCAGGCUGGCCGGGUCUGCUUCCCCCACCCCGCCCCGCUCUCAGGCAUUUCCUUCCGCAGGUGUAGCGGCAGCAUUGUGCUGUGUGUCAUCACCUCCGCCAGACUGCAGAGCCCUCCCUUCCCAAGCCUGGAAAGGCGGCGGCGGCGGCGGCAACAGAGGCAAGCGCGCUCGGCCAAAGGGUGGCUUUCUGGGGAGUCUCUCUUUCUCUCUCCUCACACGCUUCAGUGGGAUCUGACAGGAAAUCAGAAACUCAGGAGGAGGAGGACAGAAAUGGCGAAGAAGGUUUCUUGGAGAACUAAGCGCCGCUUCCAGUACAAUCUACUGAGCAUGCCUACUGAAGAGUAAGCCACACUGAGGUCAAUAGGAGUUACUCCCAGACAAGACUCAAGAAAUGCAAGGCAAAGUGAAGCGGCUACAAUACCAAAAGCGAGAAGGAUCCUGAAAACCUAUUAAGAUCAAUUCCUUAUUGAACGGAGGCUAUUGCCCUUAAAAAA
Podarcis raffonei (Aeolian wall lizard) is the source of this 961-nucleotide long non-coding RNA. RefSeq lists it as uncharacterized. NCBI's taxonomy places the organism in Eukaryota, Metazoa, Chordata, Lepidosauria, Squamata, Lacertidae. The record is from RefSeq and is a predicted model, not a curated record. The transcript is spliced from 3 exons.